UCUUCGGCAAUGGACGAAAGUCUGACCGAGCAACGCCGCGUGAGUGAAGAAGGUUUUCGGAUCGUAAAACUCUGUUGUUAGAGAAGAACAAGGAUGAGAAGAGAAUGUUCAUCCCUUGACGGUAUCUAACCAGAAAGCCACGGCUAACUACGUGCCAGCAGCCGCGGUAAUACGUAGGUGGCAAGCGUUGUCCGGAUUUAUUGGGCGUAAAGCGAGCGCAGGCGGUUCUUUAAGUCUGAUGUGAAAGCCCCCGGCUCAACCGGGGAGGGUCAUUGGAAACUGGAUCACUUGAGUGCAGAAGAGGAGAGUGGAAUUCCAUGUGUAGCGGUGAAAUGCGUAGAUAUAUGGAGGAGCACCAGUGGCGAAGGCGGCUCUCUGGUCUGUAACUGACGCUGAGACUCGAAGGCGUGGGUAGCAAACAGAA
This 424-nucleotide ribosomal RNA is filed under the name uncultured bacterium. Its description in RNAcentral is "bacterial SSU rRNA". It matches the Rfam family "Bacterial small subunit ribosomal RNA", at positions 362 to 777 of the family's 1533-position model. The record is from RNAcentral.